This 72-nucleotide small RNA is filed under the name Winogradskyella eximia. RNAcentral describes it as "Flavo-1 RNA". It matches the Rfam family "Flavo-1 RNA". The record is from RNAcentral. Lineage: Bacteria; Pseudomonadati; Bacteroidota; Flavobacteriia; Flavobacteriales; Flavobacteriaceae.
UUACGUUAAGGAUUGAAACGGCAUCCUUUUUUCUUUUUCUAAAAAAAGAUAUAGUGGAAAGCCUGACCUACU